GGUAAUAAAUAUAAAAUAACCAUUAGAUAUGGGCAAUUGCCUUUCAAUUUUAUUAGUUUAAGGUAUCAUGUAUUUUCCUUCUAAAACAUACAAGUAAUAAAGAAAAAUAUAAUACCUUUUUAUCAAAGAGUUCAAUAGAAAGUACAGAAAGCAAACAAAAAUACUUGGCAAUGGCAUCUAAAAUUUAUGGUAGAGCAAUGGCAUCAAUCUGAAAAGCAGCAUAAAAUCACUUGUACACAAAUUAAAAUUAAGCUUUAGCUUGAAGAUGAUGCAUUCCUUAUACUUUCCCACAUAGCAGGACCUUCUGGAUGGACAUCCACAAAAUAUUUUACAAAUCUUGUAUCUGAACAUGCAAGAAUAGUGCUCAAGGACAACAUCGGCUUUGCAGCACCUCUGUCUCGCAGCCACACAUACAUUCUAAAUCUAUGAUUAAUCCUUUCCAUAUCAUAGCAUAAAUAUGCCGGGAAUGGCACCACUGCUGCAAGUGGAUAGCCUAAGCAAUUUGCCAGGCAGUCAAUCUUCUUUUCAAUUACAUCUUUGGUCUGGUUAAGCACCAUUGGAGCUUGUUUAAUCAAGCUUGAGACAGAAUUGUAGUCCAAACCAGCUUGUACCAGGCAAUCAAACCUCUCUUGUAAUUGAUCCCCUCUACCUCGGAACUUUUUUAGAGCUCUCAUCAUUUCAUCUGAGUUCUCAACAUAUCCUAAUCUCAAUAAGAAUGCUGUUUUCUCCAUCUUUUUACUAUGAUCCUCAGACACUAUCUGUUUGCUGCUUCUGACUUUCGACUUAGAAGCUAAGCUGAAGAACUUCAUUGGGUCUUGCCUUAUGAUUUGGCAUAAACUAUCUUUCUUAAUGUCUAAGUCCUUACAUACAGUUUUAGGUCCUUUCAAAGAACAUGAACACAGAAGUUCCAUAUGAUUAGAUACAAUGUUUGCAAUUUCUUCUACUCCCAUUCCAAUGUAGAGAAAAAUAUCCAGUGACCGCAAAAGAUUCUUUUCACACUUAGCUGACAAGAUUUGUGGGUUUUGAACAAACAAAGAAUAAACCUCAUUCAUAUCUAUACCCAAUUUGAGCAACCUGCCAAACAAUACAUAAACCUUCUUCCCAGAACCUUCAAGUACUAAUAGAGGAUUUGUUUUAAACAAAUUACACAACUGUUCCUCUCUAUAACCCACUUUAUCAAGAAAAUCCAUUGUGUCAAGAAUUCUUUUCCAGUUGUAAGAAUCCCUGCAGGAAAAAUACCCACCAAUGCGAUCAUUACCUAUCCCUAGCCUACGUAAGUUCUUGAGUACAUUAACAAAAUCAUUGUCAACUCCACCAAUCAGUAGAGAUGGGCAACAACUAACAAGCUUAAUAACCGUGCUUUUACUUAGACCCAACUUUUCAUAGGCUAGAAGUUUCGAAUCCAACAAACCAUAUUCAUAUAUGAAAAUCUCUCUUGCUUCCUUGUACAUCUUGCCAAUCUUAAUGCGAGGAAUCCCAUAAUUGCAUAAAACAUGGAAAUUCUCGAGCAAGACAUGAUCAUCACUCAAAAAAAUCAAGUGCCGUGGAAGCAACGAAGAAAGCUCAGAUGGGCACAAACCUAAACUCUCAAAGAAUGGCUCAAAUUCGUUGAUUGGAUUAUACAUAAGGUAUUUAUUUAAGGACCUUGUAACAUCUUUCUCGGUAUCAAUCUUGGAGAGCAAAUUUUGAAGGAAAUUAGGUGAAUUCUUGCUAAUAUACUCAGCAUCUGUUAUGCUUAAGCUCCUAGUGGAAUGUAAGUACUCAAAUAGCACAUCUUGAGCCUCGGUUCUAGCAGUACGAGAGACAGGGAUACCAGAAAAAGAACUAUGUGACUGAGUUGAACAAGAACAGGAGAAUUUGAGAUUGUGGGUUAGUCUAAUACUGCAAAAGCACCGAAUUUUAAACGAAAUGGAAAAAGGGUUACAUAUAGGAUUGGAUUUUUCACAGACCAUAGGAGAAAGAACAAGAAAAUGAUUGACUUGAGCUAUCAUAUUAGAUAAUUUGGAUACCUUCUUUAAGAUUCUGGGCAAUACCAUGGCAACAAUAGGAAAACAGAGAAAAAUUAUGGGUUCUAAUCAGGAUUCUCGGAGUUCAAACAAUAAUUUCGCAUAGAAAUGAAAGAGAGAAUGGAAAUGAAAAUACCUUCAGAAAGUUAUUGAUGCGAUAUUGGAUUCUUAGGCUGAAGAAAAGGAACGGAUGAAGGCUUUGAAGCAUCACUAACCACGCUCCUCUGACGAAAAGAGACAGGCACAGCUGAAGCUUUGGCAGUGUUAAAACCCUAGAAGAAGGGUUUUUCAAUCUCUGAUCUAACAACUACCCGUUAGUGUUUUAUGACCCUCUUCAUUUUCCAAAUUUAAGAAAGGCAACCAGGCGGAUUAGGGUGAAAAUUAC
Molecule: unclassified non-coding RNA, 2391 nt
Filed under: Hevea brasiliensis (rubber tree)
Lineage: Eukaryota; Viridiplantae; Streptophyta; Magnoliopsida; Malpighiales; Euphorbiaceae
Source: RNAcentral